Molecule: ribosomal RNA, 479 nt
Filed under: uncultured bacterium
Lineage: Bacteria
Description: partial 16S ribosomal RNA
Rfam family: Bacterial small subunit ribosomal RNA
Source: RNAcentral
GACGAACGCUGGCGGCGUGCUUAACACAUGCAAGUCGAACGAAGCUUCAUUACGGAUUCUUCGGAUGAAGUAUGAUAUGACUGAGUGGCGGACGGGUGAGUAACGCGUGAGUAACCUGCCCUUCAGAGGGGGAUAGCGUUUGGAAACGAACGGUAAUACCGCAUAAUGUAUUUUGACCGCAUGAUCGAAAUACCAAAGAUUUAUCGCUGAAGGAUGGACUCGCGUCUGAUUAGGUAGUUGGUGGGGUAACGGCCUACCAAGCCGACGAUCAGUAGCCGGACUGAGAGGUUGAUCGGCCACAUUGGGACUGAGACACGGCCCAGACUCCUACGGGAGGCAGCAGUGGGGAAUAUUGCACAAUGGGCGCAAGCCUGAUGCAGCAACGCCGCGUGAAGGAAGACGGUUUUCGGAUUGUAAACUUCUGUUCUUAGUGAAGAAUAAUGACGGUAGCUAAGGAGCAAGCCACGGCUAACUACGUG